Molecule: long non-coding RNA, 3817 nt
Organism: Hemicordylus capensis (graceful crag lizard)
Lineage: Eukaryota; Metazoa; Chordata; Lepidosauria; Squamata; Cordylidae
Exons: 3
Source: RefSeq, a predicted model, not a curated record
GGAACAUCUUGGGAACGGUUUUCCAGCCAAGCCUCCCUUUCUCUAAAUGCAUGUUGAUGUCUUCCUUUAGGGAAACUCCAGCGAGCGGACCCUGUACACCCCAGAAAACAGAACUUAGGUCUGUUAUGCUCACAACCUGAAGUGCUUCCACGGUGAGCUGGAAGUGAUGGAACUGACACACAACGAGCACCAACGGAUCCUGGGCCAGCUCAGCCAACGUCUGAAAAGGCUGCAGGCAGCCUUGCAAAGAAGCCCCGCUAGCCGCUGCCGCCGCCGUGCCCACUCGUGCCCGCCUUGCGAGAGCAACCCCGAGCAGCCUGUGCCCGCUUUCCUGAACGCGCUCCUGGAGCUGCUCCAGUGGAAGUGCAAGGCUUGGGCCGGCCAGGGGCCAGUGGCCUGUCCAUCCCCUGCUCCAUAAGGCCGAGAGCAGCAGCGCCUGCCCACCACCCAAAUGCCCCCCCCACCCCCUUGGCUGCUUCUGUGGUGGGGGUUGGAGGAGCUGCAAGGGCAUGCCAGGCAAGCUUUGUGCCAUCGGCGGGCAACCCACCGCACUCAAUAAGAAACGGAGCAGCCUCUGCAUGGAUAUCUGGGAAUGCCCUGAACAGGAAGGUCACCCUCUGGGUGGAUGGGUAUUGGCCAUAGGUUCUGCUGGGGACUUGCUGAUCGCACUAGUAACGCCGGCCGUUUGGAUGCAACGGAUCUCUGUCCGAGGUGGGGGACCCAGACCAGGGCAAGCCUAGAAGGAGCCGUGGCUAGGAUGCCGUCGACAUGAACAGAGGAAAGCAAAGUAAUGGGGAAACUGGCGCCCAUCUGACACCUGGCGCUAUGGAAGUGUAGACGGUGUCCUUUCCAGCCUCUGUGUGAUGACUCUGUAAUAUUUAUUAUUUCUUAUCCUUGCAGAAUGUAUCUAAUGGGAGCACUGCUGUCCUCCCUGCUGCCCCCCCCCCCCCCGCUUGUGGAGUAAACAGGGCUGCCAGCUGUUCCUUGUUAAACAUGACAGCAUUUCACUCCACUGCCCUUCCAGGGUUUUUUGUUCAUGUGGAUUCCCUCUGGGGCUUAAAUUUCCACAGAAGUCCCAUCUGGCAGGAUGCUCCCAUUAGGGAACCUAUAACUAGAACAGUGAAGUUCUCAGAGAGCGCAGCUUUCCCCACCAAUCUCAACAAAUGGCUAAACAGUCCAACCGGAGCCUCUGGUCUGUUUAUAAAGUCCUUUUCCUGAGAAAUCUCAGCUCCCAAGUGAUUUUGACUCUGCUUUUUAAGAGGAUGAGCAAUUUCUGCUUUUGCAUCUGUCUGCAGUUCUGUUUUCUUUGUUCCUCCAGGUGAAAAAAGACUCAGUGGGCUCAGGGGGAAAAGUCAACAUGUCAUUGGUGCAGGCUGCUGCCGCUGCCAUCUCUCUGUUCCCACUAUCCAUCCUCCAAUGGAUACUGAACAUUUAUUUAUUUCAUUUAUUUAUUUAUUUAUUUGUUAACAAGUCUUAUAUCCUGCUGAAUCCCCCCAAAGGAGCUCAAAGCUGCUUACAACAAAACUACUUCAUUCUAUGUACCAUGUGCACAGUUCUUCACAGAGCAACAGAAACAGGAGGAAGACCACUCCCUGCCCCAAGGAAUUUACAAAUCAAUGUUGACAGUAGAUGGGGCAAGGAAUGCAUGUGAACAAAUUCAGUUACAGGGACUGAAACUUGGGUUCAGCUGGAGAUAAUGAGGAUGUGGUUCUUCAGGAAAGGGAGCUUUUGAGGUGGGAUCAAAAGAUGGGUGUAGUAGUUACAUCUUUGUUUGGUUGGUCCCUGCCUUGAGGUCUAUUGUACUGGCAGGCUUCCAUAAAACAUCUUUCCAGUCAUUCUCUGAAUUUUUGGAUAAAUCACGAUGUCACUAAAACAUCCUUGAGUAGUUGCUUAUAUUUAGCGUUUCCAACAGACCUGCACUAUACGGGAAGUCCCGUAUCUGAGGCAAAAAUCUGUUGUCCCAUAUACGGAUUCCCCCACCCCGUGCGGGCCCCCCCCCUAUUGGCAGAGCCCCUGGGGCUCUCCCUCAUCCCUCAAUGCAUUUGCAUUGAAGUCUGGGUGUGAAAGAAACCACAAAGUUCCCAAUUGUUCUGCAAACUUGCAGGAGCAAUUGGCUGGGUUUUGCAACAUCUGCUUCAUUUACUUAUCUAGUAUCCAUAGACCCACAGACUCCUGCUAACUGACUCACCACUUCUGGCAGUUAAAGCAGUCUUUCAGUGACAGCCAGGGCAAGAUGCAGCAGGAAUGUGUGUGUGCGCGCGCACACGUGCAAACCUGGAGGCUUUACAGACAGGGCUUCUACCCCAAAUCUCCUUCGAGAGAGAGUGUGUGCAUUCCCACAACAACCAAACUUACCCCAAAGUCCCUUCAAGAUCCUUGGACCCACUCCACACACAAGUCGGGCUUUGUCUUGCGAAUUCUAACUUAUCUCGAGGUGUUUCUGGAUUUUUUAAAUGCUGGUUUUAAGCUACUUUUUCUUAAAACGUAAAUAGGGAGAGGCACUGACUUAGAAUCAUUAGCAUGAUAAGAGGGAUACUCUCUUUAGAAACGCAAAUGUAGCUCUUCAGUACUCUCUCCCCCCCCACCCCACCCCCUUGGCUAGAAGGAAAACCCGGGAGCAUGCCAUGUGAACGUGCAUCAAAACAAAACCCGAGAGCAGAAGGGAGGGGCCUUCCCCAACUGAUAAAGAAGAAUAUGGAUGGGUGGAUUCCAGUUCUGGCUUCUUUACUUUCAUUUAUUGAUCAGACCACACUGACACCAAAAGAUUGGGGGGUGGCAAUUAUUAAAAGAUUAAAAAUCCAAAUUUUUAAGAGUAAUCUUUCAAGUUGCUAAAUUCACUCCCAAUGUAGUUUUCAAUCUUGAAGGUAGAAUUUUAAAUGUGGAAAUCAAAAUCUGGCUUUCAGUAUUUAACUUCUGUUUAACACUUAAUCUCCCAAGUGGUUUGACACAUUUGAUAUUAGCAGAUACUUUUAGAUCCACCUGGUAUACAAAAUUGGAAUCUAAACUAUUGACAUAGAUUUUUUUUAAUGUUUUUAUUAUCCUUGUGUGGUCAUGCCAAGAAGGCUCCUAAGUAGAGGAUUUGUGAUAAGAGUAUCAAAGGGUAUUAGUUUGGUCCCCAAAAAAACGUAUCCCGGAAAGAAUUAAUAGCUUAAACCAGCAAAUUAUCUUUAUGGACAGACAGAAUCAACAGACCCCAACCAUCACAGGGCUUUUUCCUUAGCUUGUUGAAAUGCUCUGCCUUUUGCUGUUGUGUCUUGGACGUUUUGGAAUAUUCCAUAUGAUGCAAGAGUUUGUCCUUGUAAUUCUGGUACAGUUGAGUCAAUUGAACAUGUCCUUUUAAAUUGUAUAUUAUAUCAGUCAAUAAGAAAUUCUUACUGUCUUUCCCUGGGCAUUCAGUGUUAUUUUAUGCCACCUAAAACAGGGAAAUGGCUUGACUAGCCAGCCAGAGGUUGCUGGUUUGAAUCCCCACUGGUGUGUUUCCCAGACUAUGAGAAACACCAGUAUCGGGCAGCAGUGAUAAAGGGAGAUACUGUGCGGGAGAUGGCAAUGGUAAACCCCUCCUGUAUUCUACCAAAGACAACCACAGGUCUCUGUGGUCGACAGGAGUCGACACCAACUCGAAGGCAUACUUUACCUUUACUUACUUUCUGGAGUGAAUCCUGAGACCAAUUUUAAUUAGUGGCAAAAUUCUUUGCAGCUGCUUGUAAGAUUAGAUAAUUGAUAUACUUACAAAAACUACUAGCUGAACAUAAUGGAUGGAUAUGUUGUAUUUUUUUUCUCCUUGUCAUGGACCGUAAUAAAGAAUCAAUUCAUGCUG